This 460-nucleotide ribosomal RNA is filed under the name uncultured bacterium. RNAcentral's name for it is "partial 16S ribosomal RNA". It matches the Rfam family "Bacterial small subunit ribosomal RNA", at positions 338 to 795 of the family's 1533-position model. The record is from RNAcentral.
CCUACGGGUGGCAGCAGUGAGGAAUAUUGGUCAAUGGGCGCGAGCCUGAACCAGCCACGUCGCGUGAAGGAUUACUGCCCUCCGGUUUGUAAACUUCUUUUAUAAAGGAAUAAUGUGAGGCACGUGUGCCUUUUUGUAUGUACUUUAUGAAUACGGAUGGCGUAACUCCGUGCCAGCAGCCGCGGUAAUACGGAGGAUCCGAGAGUUAUCCGGAUUUAUUGGGUUGAAAGGGAGCGUAGAGGGGUGGUUAAGUCAGUUGUGAAAGUUUGCGGCUCAACCGAAAAAUUGCAAUUGAUACUGGCAGUCUUGAGUACAGUUGAGGAAGGCGGAAUGCGUGGUGUAGCGGUGAAAUGCUUAGAUAUCACGAAGAACUCCGAUUGCGAAGGCAGCUUACUAAACUGCCACUGACAUUGAGGCUCGAAAGUGUGGGUAUCAAACAGGAUUAGAUACCCGAGUAGUC